AUAUAUUUAUUUACCUACAGGUCAUGGGUUAACUGCAGUCAAGGAAAAGGCCGGGGCAACCCUGCGAAUCCACAGUGUCAAUUCUGGAUCUCCUGAAGGGGUACCAACUGAUGCCGAAAAUGGAUUUUCUGAAAAUGUGACUCCAGAUCAGGACCCUGCCGGGGGCCCCCACACUUCUCCUCCGCCAGGGGCAGCAGGGUCGAGGGGCAUGCUGUCAGCCCUCACCAACGUGGUUCAAAACACGGGCAAAAGUGUCUUAAGCGGAGGUCUGGAUGCUCUGGAAUUCAUUGGAAAGAAAACCAUGAAUGUCCUCGCAGAAAGUGACCCAGGGUUUAAGCGGACGAAGACACUGAUGGAGAGAACCGUUUCCUUGUCCCAGGUUGAACUAGAAUCCUUCAUUGAUUUUUCUCCUUUCAGCCAAUAAAGUCAAAGCAAGUGGCACAAAAAGUAGGAAGAAAGCUAACUGAAAAUCUCGUGGGAGGCAAGCACUGUUAAUGGUCCCUUAUGCACGCUGUUGGUUAUCUUACAGACAUAGUGAUAAAUAAGCAUUUGGGUAUAAGAAUAUGCAUGCAUUUGGGUAUAAGAAUAUGUACACACACACUCCAGCCAAACAGCACCAUAUUGAUCACACUUUCAUACAUUACUCAUUUAGUAAUCUGUUGAAGAUUUUUCCAUGUAUGCCCCUUUCAGUACCUCAGUUCUGUCGCUUAUCAUCUAUACAACAUUGUGGGUUUACUUUCCAUCUCUGUGCCUCAGCUUAUCCCCUGGAUAAGCUGGAAUGAGGUGACAGCAAUACCUCCUGAUAACUUCGCUCUGAUGAUUACAUGAGCUAGAACAGAACCUGAUAAAGACAUGUAUGUGUACAUACAUAUAUAACUUUUAUGCUAGGUAAAAGGAUGAUGCUCUUUUAUUCUAGGUAAAAUGAUGGAGAGAAAGACUGAGUCUAAAAACUGGAAAAUUCUAGCUACUUUUGUUGUAAAAUGAAGAGGGGACCUGAGUUAAUUUCCCAAACUACCAUAAUUUUUGUGACACAUUCAUGAUUUUGUCACAGCUGCAUGCUAGCCACACUUAGAAGGCUACACUGCACAUGGAAAUGUGUUACCCAGCACCCACAAGGACCA
Cricetulus griseus (Chinese hamster) is the source of this 1121-nucleotide non-coding RNA. The record is from RefSeq and is a predicted model, not a curated record. Lineage: Eukaryota; Metazoa; Chordata; Mammalia; Rodentia; Cricetidae.